Molecule: ribosomal RNA, 959 nt
Filed under: Nautosphaeria cristaminuta
Lineage: Eukaryota; Fungi; Ascomycota; Sordariomycetes; Microascales; Halosphaeriaceae
Description: eukaryotic LSU rRNA
Rfam family: Eukaryotic large subunit ribosomal RNA
Source: RNAcentral
UUGCCCCAGUAACGGCGAGUGAAGCGGCAACAGCUCAGAUUUGAAAUCCGGCCCCAGGCCCGAGUUGUAACCUGCAGAGGAUGCUUCUGGCGAGGCGCCUUCCGAGUGCCCUGGAACGGGACGCCGCAGAGGGUGAGAGCCCCGUACGGUCGGUCGCCGAGCCUGUGUGAAGCUCCUUCGACGAGUCGAGUAGUUUGGGAAUGCUGCUCUAAACGGGAGGUAUACCCCUUCUAAAGCUAAAUACCGGCCAGAGACCGAUAGCGCACAAGUAGAGUGAUCGAAAGAUGAAAAGCACUUUGGAAAGAGAGUUAAACAGCACGUGAAAUUGUUGAGAGGGAAGCGCUUGUGACCAGACUCGGGCCCGGCGGUUCAGCUGGCGUUCUCGCCAGCGCACUCCGCCGGCCCAGGCCAGCAUCGGUUCGCCGCCGGGGAGAAGGGCGGGGGGAAUGUGGCUCCUCGGAGUGUUAUAGCCCCCCGCCGUGCCCUCCGGCGGACCGAGGUACGCGCCCCGCAAGGAUGCUGGCGUAAUGGUCGCCAGCGACCCGUCUUGAAACACGGACCAAGGAGUCGUCCUAGUGUGCGAGUGUUCGGGUGCCAAACCCCUACGCGCAAUGAAAGUGAACGCUGGUGAGAGCCUCGGCGCAUCAUCGACCGAUCCUGAUGUCCUCGGAUGGAUUUGAGUAGGAGCACACUGGGCCGGACCCGAAAGAAGGUGAACUAUGCCUGUAUAGGGUGAAGCCAGAGGAAACUCUGGUGGAGGCUCGCAGCGGUUCUGACGUGCAAAUCGAUCGUCAAAUAUGGGCAUGGGGGCGAAAGACUAAUCGAACCUUCUAGUAGCUGGUUUCCGCCGAAGUUUCCCUCAGGAUAGCAGUGUUGAGCUCAGUUUUAUGAGGUAAAGCGAAUGAUUAGGGACUCGGGGGCGCAAUUAUGCCUUCAUCCAUUCUCAAACUUUAAAUAUG